GUCCACGCCGUAAACGAUGGAUACUAGGUGCUGUGGGUAUUGACCCCUGCAGUGCCGUCGCUAACGCAUUAAGUAUCCCGCCUGGGAAGUACGGCCGCAAGGCUAAAACUCAAAGGAAUUGACGGGGCCCGCACAAGCGGUGGAGCAUGUGGUUUAAUUCGACGCAACGCGAAGAACCUUACCCAGACUUGACAUCGAUGGAACCUGGUGGAGACACCGGGGUGCCCUUCGGGGCCCAGAAGACAGGUGCUGCAUGGCUGUCGU
This 264-nucleotide ribosomal RNA is filed under the name uncultured bacterium. RNAcentral describes it as "partial 16S ribosomal RNA". It matches the Rfam family "Bacterial small subunit ribosomal RNA", at positions 793 to 1055 of the family's 1533-position model. The record is from RNAcentral.